This 2002-nucleotide long non-coding RNA is filed under the name Nicotiana benthamiana. RNAcentral describes it as "long non-coding RNA (NBEN_LNC028549)". Lineage: Eukaryota; Viridiplantae; Streptophyta; Magnoliopsida; Solanales; Solanaceae. The record is from RNAcentral.
CGACGGAACAAAGAACGAAACUUUACGACAGCUUUUUCAUAAACGUUCACUUGCAUCACAUCAUCUUCAACCAACCUCCACCCGAGAAGCCCAUGGGAUCCGCUCUACAGAUACCAUCAAAUCCCAGUUUCCGAGAUACCACAUCAGCCCUAUCACCACUAAUCCUAGGUUAUCAGGGGACGCUAGGCAUCGGAAUUCAAAAAGUUCUCUUUUUUUUUGUCAGCGGAUUUCGCUCAUCAAGUUCUUCUUUGAUCUGCCGCUGUUAGAACACCACAAUAUUCGUCUUUUUGGGGUUAAUGUUCUCAAUGGUUAAAUCCCAAUUUUCGAGAUACCAUAUCAGCCCUAUCACCACUAAUCCUAGGUUAUCAGGGGACGCUAGGCAUCAGAAUUCAAAACGUUCUCUUUUUUUUGUCAGCGGAUUUCGCUCAUCAAGUUCUUCUUUGAUCUGCCGCUGUUAGAACACCACAAUAUUCGUCUUUUUGGGGUUAAUGUUCUCAAUGGUGAAUCGAUCAUUCGAUAUCCUUUUCCUUCUGCGACGGAAUGGAAGAAAAGUAAUGAAACCUGCGAUGGCUACUGAAUAACCUCCUUUUACUUUCUCAAUAAUAAAGCCUUUGACCUUUGUAUUCGUUCGCCAAAUCUUGUUCAGUUCCAUCCAAGCUCGGUUUUGUCUGAAUCUUCGUGGAAGAAGAAGAAGCGGUUCACCAGCCACUACAUCUGUAGAUCCCACCAAAUCAUUAAACCUGGCGGCUGCCUAAUGUUCUCAAUGGUGAAUCAAUCAUUCGGUAUCCUUUUCCUUCUGGUACAGAAUAGAAGAAAAUUAAUGAAACCUGCGAUGGCUACUGAAUAACCUCCUUUUACUUUCUCAAUAAUAAAGCCUUUGACCUUUGUAUUCGUUCGCCAAAUCUUGUUCAGUUCCAUCCAAGCUCGGUUUUGUCUGAAUCUUCGUGGAAGAAGAAGAAGCGGUUCACCAGCCACUACAUCUGUAGAUCCCACCAAAUCAUUAAACCUGGCGGCUGCUCGCUCUUUGAUCAGUGAUUCACCGGCCACUAGAUCGAUGAAGAAUCUCUCUAAAAUCUGCUCUUUGAUCAGUGAUUCACCGGCCACUAGAUCCAGGAAUCCCACCUUAUUCUCAAACCUGGUGGCUCGGUUGAUUGGCACUCCUGUAGGCUCAUCUUGCAUACAAAUUCUGGGGGUCCCAAGUCCUGCAUCCACCAAGAACAUUUCUUCCCUUAAGCGUAAAAUUCUUGUUCAGUUCCAUCCAAGCUCAGUUUUGUGUGAAUCUUUGUGGAAGAAGAAGAAGCGGUUCACCAGCCACUACAUCUGUAGAUCCCACCAAAUCAUUAAACCUGGCGGCUGCUCGCUCUUUGAUCAGUGAUUCACCGGCCACUAGAUCGAUGAAGAAUCUCUCUAAAAUCUGCUCUUUGAUCAGUGAUUCACCGGCCACUAGAUCCAGGAAUCCCACCUUAUUCUCAAACCUGGUGGCUCGGUUGAUUGGCACUCCUGUAGGCUCAUCUUGCAUACAAAUUCUGGGGGUCCCAAGUCCUGCAUCCACCAAGAACAUUUCUUCCCUUAAGCAUAAAACUUCAGAUUGUAAGGCGUUUCCACUACAUAAGAAAAAAUGGAACUAGAUCUUGGAAAUGAUCGACUCAAAUAGAUGCUCAUCAUAGGCUUUUUUUUUUCUUCCUCUUCGUGUUCUAUUGAUCAGAAGUAUACAUCAGCGCCACGCCAGUAGAAAGAGUCUUGCUACUAAGCUAAGCUGCUAUUGGGGAACUCGGUAUAAGCGAUUUUCCGCUUCCGCCUUUCUAGGCUUCACAAUAGCUCCCCCUUUUCUUUUCCAAUUCCUUCUUUUCGUUCUACUUAGGUGGAGCAAUCCGAACUCUCGACAGAAUAUAAAAGAGGACCACAGGCCUGUGUAAACACCUCAACGAACUCAUGUGGACACUCCUCAGCCCGAGGACAAUCUCUCAAAUACACAUGUUGAUGUUGUUGACCCGUUUUUCUU